AGGGGACAGACAGAUCCGAAAUUUUUUUUUGAUCGAUUUUGAUAUAUGGAACAUUGAAAUUAGAGCUCGUAUGCGAAAGUUAUGGCUAUUUUACGAACGAACUCCAAAUUAGAGGACAAAACGGUGCGAAAGUGGGCAAAAUUUACGGUGGUGGCUAGAAAUUGAUGGAAACGGUGGGAGAAAAUACAUGAACUGGACUCUAACAAGACCUAUCCAGCAACAAGACCUCGACGAGGACACAAACUCAACACUGCGGACUCUAAAACUGAAAUAUGCAAAGGCUAUGGCGUGGAAGGGUUGUAUGACAGAAAAACGAUAUGACACUGGACUUAUGGGACGAACACAAGAACACUCGAAACUAAGGGUAGAUUUGAACCUAAUGGUAUAUCUAAAUCUUUGAUUUCCACAUGAUGAGAACAAGGGUGACCCGAUCUUCUGAAAGGUUCUAGUAACUCUCGAUUUGGUGGAGACGAGACACAAAUCGAUCCGGGUUUCGAACAACACGAUCCGAAACCCUACAAUUUUUUUACUUUUUUGAUAUUUUUCUUUUAGUUAGAGCACCAAUGGAGUAACCACAGAAAAUUUGAGCUUAAACCAGUGAAAAACAUGGCCUACGAAAAUUUCUGAAAAUUGUGAAAAAUGUGAAAAAACAUCACGAGGUGAAAACUCAAACUUCGGAGGUGAAUUUGGAGGUUCUAAAUUUUCAAACCUACCAAUGGAGUGACAAACAGAUCCAAAAUUUUUUUCUAAUCGAUUUUGAUAUAUGGAACGUUGUAAACGGAGCUCGUAUGUGAAAGUUAUGGCUAUUUUACGAACGGACUCCAAGUUAGAGGACAAAACGGUCCGAAAGUGGGAAAAAUUUGCGGUGGUGGCUAGAAAUUGAUGGAAACGGUGGGGGAAAAUACAUGAACUGGACUAUAACAAGACCUAACCAGCAACAAGACCUCGACAAGGACACAAACUCAACACUGCGGACUCUGAAACUGAAAUAUGCAAAGGCUAUGACGCGGAAGGGUUGUAGGACAAGAAAACGAUAUGACACAGGACUUAUGGGACAAACCAAGAACACUCGAAACUAAAGGUAGAUGUGAACCUAACGGUAUACCUAAAGCUUUGAUUUCCACAUAUGAGAACAAGGGUGACUCGAUCUUCUGAAGUUCUGGUAACUCUCGAUUUGGUGGAGACGAGACACAAAUCGAUCCGUCUUCCGAACAACACGAUCCGAAACCCUGCAUUUUUUUUUUGAUAUUUUUCCUUUAGUUAGAGCACCAAAGGAGUGACCACAGAAAAUUUGAGCUUAAACUAGUGAAAGACAUGGUCUACAAAAAUUUCUGAAAAUUAUGUAAAAUGUGAAAAAAAAACAUCACGAGGUGAAAACUCAAACUUCAGAGGUGAAUUUGGAGGUUCUAAAGUUUUCAAACUCGCCAAUGGAGGGGACAGAGAGAUCCGAAAUUUUUUUCUGAUCGAUUUUGAUAUAUUGAACGUUGAAAUCAGAGCUCGUAUGCGAAAGUUAUGGCUAUUUUACAAACAGACUCCAAAUUAGAGGACAAAAUGGUCCGAAAGUGGGAAAAAUUUGCGGCGGUGGCUAGAAAUUGAUGGAAACGGUGGGGGAAAAUACAUGAACUGGACUCUAACAAGACCUAACCAGCAAUAAGACCUCGACGAGGACACAAACUCAACACUGCGGACUCUGAAACUGAAAUAUGCAAAGGCUAUGACGUCGAAGGGUUGUAGGACAAGAAAACGAUAUGACACUGCACUUAUGGGACGAACACAAGAACACUCAAAACUAAGGGUAGAUGUGAACUUAAUGGUAUACCUAAAGCUUUGAUUCCCACAUGAUGAGAACAAGGGUGACCCGAUCUUCUAAAAGGUUCUGGUAACUCUCGAUUUGGUGGAGACGAGACACAAAUCGAUCCGGCUUCCGAACAACACGAUCCGAAACCCUGCAAUUUUUUUUAUUUUUUUGAUAUUUUUAUUUUAGUUAGAGCACCAAAGGAGUGACCACAUAAAAUUUGAGCUUAAACCAGUGAAAGACAUGGCCUACGAAAAUUUCUGAAAAUUGUGAAAAAUGUGAAAAAAACAUCAUGAGGUGAAAACUCAAACUUCAGUUGUGAAUUUGGAGGUCCUAAAAUUUGCAAACCAGCCAAGGGAGGGGACAGACAGAUCCGAAAUUUUUUUCUGAUCGAUUUUGAUAUAUGGAACAUUGAAAUCGGAGCUCGUAUGCGAAAGUUAUGGCUAUUUUACGAACGGACUCCAAAUUAGAGGACAAAACGGUGCGAAAGUGGGCAAAAUUUACGGUGGUGGCUAGAAAUUGAUGGAAACGGUGGGGGAAAUUACAUGAACUGAACUCUAACAAGACCUAACCAGCAACAAGACCUCGACGAGGACACAAACUCAACACUGCGGACUCUAAAACUGAAAUAUGCAAAGGCUAUGGCGUGGAAGGGUUGUAGGACAGAAAAACGAUAUGACACUGGACUUAUGGGACGGACACAAGAACACUCGAAACUAAGGGUAGAUUUGAACCUAAUGGUAUAUCUAAAUCUUUGAUUUCCACAUGAUGAGAAAAAGGGUGACCCGAUCUUCUGAAAGGUUCUGGUAACUCUUGAUUUGGUGGAGACGAGACACAAAUCGAUCCGGGUUCCGAACAACACGAUCCGAAACCCUACAAUUUUUUUUUAUUUUUUUGAUAUUUUUCUUUUAGUUAGAGCACCAAUGGAGUAACCACAGAAAAUUUGAGCUUAAACCAGUGAAAAACAUGGCCUACGAAAAUUUCUGAAAAUUGUGAAAAAUGUGAAAAACAUCACGAGGUGAAAACUCAAACUUCGGAGGUGAAUUUGGAGGUUCUAAAUUUUCAAACCUACCAAUGGAGUGACAAACAGAUCCAAAAUUUUUUCUGAUCGAUUUUGAUAUAUGGAACGUUGUAAACGGAGCUCGUAUGUGAAAGUUAUGGCUAUUUUACGAACGGACUCCAAGUUAGAGGACAAAACGGUCCGAAAGUGGGAAAAAUUUGCGGUGGUGGCUAGAAAUUGAUGGAAACGGUGGGGGAAAAUACAUGAACUGGACUCUAACAAGACCUAACCAGCAACAAGACCUCGACAAGGACACAAACUCAACACUGCGGACUCUGAAACUGAAAUAUGCAAAGGCUAUGACGCGGAAGGGUUGUAGGACAAGAAAACGAUAUGACACAGGACUUAUGGGACGAACCAAGAACACUCGAAACUAAAGGUAGAUGUGAACCUAACGGUAUACCUAAAGCUUUGAUUUCCACAUAUGAGAACAAGGGUGACCCGAUCUUCUGAAGUUCUGGUAACUCUCGAUUUGGUGGAGACGAGACACAAAUCGAUCCGUCUUCCGAACAACACGAUCCGAAACCCUGCAUUUUUUUUUGAUAUUUUUCUUUUAGUUAGAGCACCAAAGGAGUGACCACAGAAAAUUUGAGCUUAAACUAGUGAAAGACAUGGCCUACAAAAAUUUCUGAAAAUUAUGUAAAAUGUGAAAAAAAAACAUCACGAGGUGAAAACUCAAACUUCAGAGGUGAAUUUGGAGGUUCUAAAGUUUUCAAACUCGCCAAUGGAGGGGACAGAGAGAUCCAAAAUUUUUUUCUGAUCGAUUUUGAUAUAUUGAACGUUGAAAUCAGAGCUCGUAUGCGAAAGUUAUGGCUAUUUUACAAACAGACUCCAAAUUAGAGGACAAAAUGGUCCGAAAGUGGGAAAAAUUUACGGCGGUGGUUAGAAAUUGAUGGAAACGGUGGGGGAAAAUACAUGAACUGGACUCUAACAAGACCUAACCAGCAAUAAGACCUCGACGAGGACACAAACUCAACACUGCGGACUCUGAAACUGAAAUAUGCAAAGGCUAUGACGUGGAAGGGUUGUAGGACAAGAAACGAUAUGACACUGCACUUAUGGGACGAACACAAGAACACUCAAAACUAAGGGUAGAUGUGAACCUAAAGGUAUACCUAAAGCUUUGAUUCCCACAUGAUGAGAACAAGGGUGACCCGAUCUUCUAAAAGGUUCUGGUAACUCUCGAUUUGGUGGAGACGAGACACAAAUCGAUCCGGCUUCCGAACAACACGAUCCGAAACCCUGCAAAUUUUUUUAUUUUUUUGAUAUUUUUCUUUUAGUUAGAGCACCAAAGGAGUGACCACAGAAAAUUUGAGCUUAAACCAGUGAAAGACAUGGCCUACGAAAAUUUCUGAAAAUUGUGAAAAAUGUGAAAAAAACAUCAUGAGGUGAAAACUCAAACUUCAGUUGUGAAUUUGGAGGUCCUAAAAUUUGCAAACCAGCCAAGGGAGGGGACAGACAGAUCCGAAAUUUUUUUCUGAUCGAUUUUGAUAUAUGGAACAUUGAAAUCGGAGCUCGUAUGCGAAAGUUAUGGCUAUUUUACGAACGGACUCCAAAUUAGAGGACAAAACGGUGCGAAAGUGGGCAAAAUUUACGGUGGUGGCUAGAAAUUGAUGGAAACGGUGGGGGAAAAUACAUGAACUGGACUCUAACAAGACCUAACCAGCAACAAGACCUCGACAAGGACACAAACUCAACACUGCGGACUCUGAAACUGAAAUAUGCAAAGGCUAUGACGCGGAAGGGUUGUAGGACAAGAAAACGAUAUGACACAGGAGUUAUGGGACGAACCAAGAACACUCGAAACUAAAGGUAGAUGUGAACCUAACGGUAUACCUAAAGCUUUGAUUUCCACAUAUGAGAACAAGGGUGAACCGAUCUUCUAAAAGGUUCUGGUAACUCUCGAUUUGGUGGAGACGAGACACAAAUCGAUCCGGGUUCCGAACAACACGAUCCGAAACCCUGCAAUUUUUUUUAUUUUUUUUGAUAUUUUUCUUUUAGUUAGAGCACCAAAGGAGUAACCACAGAAAAUUUGAGCUUAAACCAGUGAAAAACAUGGCCUACGAAAAUUUCUGAAAAUUGUGAAAAAUGUGAAAAACAUCACGAGGUGAAAACUCAAACUUCGGAGGUGAAUUUGGAGGUUCUAAAUUUUCAAACCUACCAAUGGAGUGACAAACAGAUCCAAAAUUUUUUCUGAUCGAUUUUGAUAUAUGGAACGUUGUAAACGGAGCUCGUAUGUGAAAGUUAUGGCUAUUUUACGAACGGACUCCAAGUUAGAGGACA
Molecule: long non-coding RNA, 5138 nt
Filed under: Sorghum bicolor (sorghum)
Lineage: Eukaryota; Viridiplantae; Streptophyta; Magnoliopsida; Poales; Poaceae
Description: long non-coding RNA (SBIC_LNC012740)
Source: RNAcentral